Molecule: long non-coding RNA, 9934 nt
Organism: Lagopus muta (rock ptarmigan)
Lineage: Eukaryota; Metazoa; Chordata; Aves; Galliformes; Phasianidae
Exons: 3
Source: RefSeq, a predicted model, not a curated record
AAAUGAACAAUCCCACUUCUCAGGAAGCUUUGGUUGAACCAUUUCUUAACGCUUUUUCUUCUCCUUCCCCAAGCAAGGACGCACUUAGGCCAAGAACGAUAGGGAACAAGAAUAUGAUCCAGAGGAUUCAGCUAGUGGGAGAGGAUGGGCAAAAUUCCACGUGUUGUCUGCUGUGGGCACCAGUUUGUCUUUCUCUGCUGGUUCCAGUACCUCCUCCCCAGCUGUAUGUGCCCAUUACAGCUUUCUAACAGCACAGCAGAGAACACACGUAGGUGUAACGUUUGUUUUAGUAUACAUAUUCACUUAAGCUAAGAAGUGCAGAUGCUUUUGCAUAGAAAUCUGUUCUUCCUGUUCAUCUGGUAUUUUCACCAAGCCUGGACAUCAAUCCAUGGAGUCUUUUCUCUGGAACCCUGUUUUUUGACAGUGAAGUUCUUGUUAAAACCUCUUCAGUUUCUGAAAUGGAUGAUUGCAAGCCACAGUUGCAUUGCGUAACUGACAUGGAGUUUAAAAAAAAAAAAAUCUCAUUAGUUUUCUAAUGGUUCAUUUAGCAUCUGCUUGACUUCAGCUAUUGAACUGUUAGGCAAGCUGAUUAAUGUAUUUUAAUUGUCCCUUCCAUUCAGCUUUUUCAUAUUUCUUAUAGAAGGGCAGUCAUGGAGCUUUCCCAUAAGAGGAAAGAGCUCCAAGAGACAGUGACCUCUGGAAGGCUCGCAUGUUUUGUUCAGAGGAGAAACAGAUGUUACUGAGUACUUCUAGCUGACAAAGAGCAUCUGCAUGUUGUGUUUUCCCCAAAAAAUAGCUGCAACAAGCAGCUGGAGACAAAUUCCUGCCUCGUGCUUCCAAGCUUUUUUUACAGCUAGUAUUAGCCCCUUGGAAUAUUUUGGUCUUCCCUGGCAUUUUUACAAGUGAUUUCAGUGAUUUUAUCCCUGCUGCUUUCUCCUCUGUCCUGCCAGAAGGAAAUGCUGUUUUUCACACUUGUAGUCACUAAACAAGUAUUUCUAUAAAUAUGUUGUUUGCAUCUUUCCAGGCUUACUCACCUUCAUUUCUCCAGCUACUGAAGUGCUCAGAUGGAGAGCUGCAUCCUCCCAGCAAGAAAUGACCUGAGACUCACGAGCGAGCUCGUGUUUUUCCAUGACCCAGGUCCCUCAAUCCCUCUUGGACUUCAGCACAUCUCAGAUUAUCAUCUACAUUUGUUGGAUCUUAGGUUGCAUAUCUUGGUUAAACUACUUGGAACUUCCAGAACUCGUUAGAGCUCUGCACCUGUCUGCAUAACAAUAUUUGUGCAUGCCAACAAACUUCCAUGGCUACUGUCUGUCACCUAUUUUCAAUCCCCAGACAGCUGUUAGAGGACAGCAGAGCCCAGAACUUCCCUUCAGAAGGUGGUGCAAUGCCAGGUGCUGCCCCAAGGCCCCAUCUCUGAGUUUUUCCCAUCUCAUUUGUUACAGAAUUUACUUCACAUUGCUUGUAGCUGCCUUAAAAAAAAGAAAAAGAAAAAAAAAACCAAAACAAUUUUCAAGCUUGUGUUACAGUGGUUCAGGCUUCUAAGUGCAUUCUCUGUCUUUUCCAGGGAGCUGCAGGCCUGGCCUGUUGGGCAACAGGGCUGUGAACUGAUGCUGGUGGGAUUCCUGCGUUGGGCAACAGAGGCGUUAAUCCAACAGUUGGGAGGUGUGGUUGUGAAAGAGCCCAGCCAGGCUCUUAGCACACACCAACAGAAGGAUAUGGAACAACCGCGGCGUUGCACGGAGCUGCACUUGCACCAUUUCCUCCUGUGUGACAGGAUCGGGCUCGAAGACCACGCGGAACGUGAGGCGAUACCACCAGGGACUAAGAUUGGUGCCAGACUUUUCCCAGUGGGCAGACCAAAUGGGAAAGUUCAAUUCUGCUCUAAAAACGUGAGAAAUUCUCUGUGAAGAUGCACGGGGGCCUAAGGCAGUGUUUGGGCCAGGCAUCCAACCACCACUGAUGCAUAGGGAUUGCAGAUCCUUGGUGCUUGUUCCCAGCCUGCACUCAAAAGCAAUGCUUCCAGAGGUGUUUGCAAACCUUCCCUGGUGCCUUGGAUGCCUGGAAUGUGCACCUCACCCCUGCUGCAGAAGUGGCAGCCUAGGCUUGGAUCCUGCUCAGGUGAGCCCCAAACCCAGGGACAAGGGAUAAAGCUCCAUGAAUUGAGCCUGAACCUUUCAUCCUGCCAGAUGACUUACACUAACAUUAAUGGAAACUGUGUGCAGAAACCACAAGUUUAAAUCAAGAGGAUUAUGUCAAAAAAGCAGACUUUACAUUUGUAAUUCCAAAUGACAGACUGUGAGCAGUGGUUUUUUUGCUCACUGUAAAGAACCCAUCACUAUUUUCAGCUUCUUAAAGCUGACACGAUGCCCAAACUUCAUGGGAAUCAAGUUCUGAAAUGGUUUUUGUAAUUCAAAGGAUAAAGGAAGAAAUCUCCCCAAAUGGGGUUAUGCUAAUAAGCACCUAUGCGAAAAGAGUAGUUCUCAGAAUCUUCAGCCCAAGUUUUGGCUUGGCAUCUCACUGCAGCUCCUGUGCCAAGGUAGGCAAGCUGCUGGAUAUCAUCUCCUUGUGGCGUGGUUGGGAGCGAGGUGAGCCAUGCUGCGUCAGUCUGUCUUUCCUACCCAUCCCUGAUGCUUUCCAUGGAAGAAAGCCUUUCUUGACCCUUGGCACUUUUCAAAUUCUGUCCACUAAUUAAAAUGAAAGGAAGGGAAAAGACAAACAUCAGGAAUCUCCACUAUGAGUGGUGUUGAUUUGUCUGAGGCUGACUGAGCCUGGAGAAAUAGCUCCUCAGCUUUUGAGCAGCUAGGGAUAUAGGGCAGAUCCAGCACACCAGUCAGGCACUGAUCAAAAUGCAUUUGAAGAAUGGUGUGAAAUUUAAUGCUGUGAGCAUUGCAUCAGGUUUAGAGGACAAGAACCAAACUUUUUGCCAGGAAACAGUAGCCAUCACUGACAAACAGGGAGCAACUCAUCUUGUCAAUGACGGACGUGUUUGCAGCUCCGGACAUCUGGAAGGGAUUUAGCAGAAAGGUCUGAUUCCUGUGGCACCGCUCAUCUCCCUGCCUGAUGGAUUCAAAGGGGAUGAGGUAAAAGGAGAAAAAGAAAACUGAAGAUUCUCAGGAGGUGCUUGGCUGCAGGCCAGCAGGCUGCUGGCUGCGUGGUUCUAAGAUUGCUCAGUCUUACAGAAAGCUGCAAAGGAACAGGCUGGUUCUAUAGGAAUGUGACCUGACUUUCCAACCUGCACGGUGACUUGGCUGUCAGGUUAUUCUGGCAGAGGUUUCUCCCUUCCUGGGGUCUGGGAAGCCUUCCAACUGACCGUGCAGCAUUUGUGGCUCGAGACACGCUGUGCUCGUGCCCUUGGUUUGGUCCCUGUUGGAGGUGACCUUCUUAGGCAUCAUGCUGCUGUACAGCAUGCUGGUGAGCCACAUGUUUUAUAAUCCCAUAAGGUUUGGUGUGUUAUCCAGUGCAUGACGUGCCUCCUUUACAUAAGGAUGAGACUGAAGGAGAAUAGCUGGUCUGUGUGUUUAACUUGCUGUUGGAAUAUGUCACUGUGUGGCUCAUGUUUUUGAGAUGUUUUCUUUUAGUGCCCUCUGGGCUAAAAUAAUAAGGGUCUGUCCAGGAGUCAGAAGUCAGCCUGUUGGCUCAGACCUCGGUGGGAUUCAGAUACAAUUCCUAAUUUGGGAAAUUCCUGCUCCAAGAAGUCCCUGGAGGAGAAUGGCUGAGGAAUUCCCUGAUUCUUAUUUUAAAGCGUAAAUCACUGAGAUCCAGAGUAAGGCUAAUGGGCUGACCGAAGACACAACCACCUAUGAAAGUAGUCCCAGCAAUAAUAUGCUGGGAGGAGGAUCUUCAGAUGACCCUUAAACAAUUUUAUUUUAUUUCAUUUUCCACUUUGCAGAAUGUUUGUUUGUUUAAAAGAGUUUUCAGGGGGUUUGACAAUUGGAAUUUUAGACAAGUCUUGAAAAUCUAGAGCAACAGUGUGGGUGCUGGAAAUGUCUAUCUAGCAUCCUGGCAGCUUGCUGCUCCCGGAGCAAGACUUUGUGCUUCAUGUUCUUGGGUGUGUGUUUGCACAAUAAUCACAUCCCCUGAACCCUUUGCUUUGCUCUCAGCUCUCCUACCUACCUGGCCUCUCAGAGAAAAAAAAGAAAAGUACAGUUUGGGAUUUGCAAUUAAACAACCAUGACCUCAUCCUGGGAGUUUCACAUUGCUGCGAGGAUUAGGACCAUAUGACUGCAAAGGCUGUCUGAUAAAUAUUUGUUCCUGCUCAUGGACGAAACGUCUCUCCCUCAGCAGCUGGAGGAGGGAGCUCUGCUUCCCGCUGCGAUGGGGCUCCGCAGCAGCUCCCUGUGCUCCUCCUCGUGUCAAUUAACCCAUCAUCCCUCCCUUGUAUUGAAAGGAGAAAGCGAAGGUGUCCGCUUGCCAGCUUGAGAGUCAGAGUGAUGAGUACAGAUGGUGCCAAAGCGUUGUGAAAAGCAGACGUAGAAGAAUUAAAAACUAAUAAUGAAGAAAUGUGUCUGUCUUGGUUGUGCUGCAACUGCCAGACUAAUCCUGCUGGCAUCCUCCCAGGUUAGAGCAUCACUUAUUCAUGUUCUUAGUAGCUGGCAAUGCCGCUUUGUAGGAGCAGUGGUGGAAACAGCUUUGGUUUUAAGCAGCUCUUUAGUUGUGCUGAGGUUUUGCUUCAUUUGAAUUCCAGAUUUCCAGGCACUUGGGGCUAAUCUAAUACAAAGUCCUAUUGUAUCACAUGAAGAAAUAACUUCUGUGACUCCUCCCGUCGGUGCCAGAAGCUCAGGUUCUGUUUACCUUGCACCACUGAAAUCAAGAGGUCACUUUGCCUGAGCAAGAGGGGCUGGAUUUGGCCCAAGCCAUCUUGCUUCACAACGUGCUGUCUAUCCCAUAAAAAUCUGUCUCCACUUUCACCCAGCUAUGGCUAUGCCCAGCUCCUGGUGCAUGCUCAGACAUCCCCUGCCAGACCUAUUCUCCCACUCCUGUGUCUCAUGUAAAAAGCCUCAAACCCAAGUGCACGUGGAACAUCAGAGAUGUGUGCACUCCUUGCUGGAUACAGCAGUGUGUGCCUGCCUUGGUGCCUGACUGAAACCAAUGGAAAACACUACUCUUUGCAUUCUACAGAGAAGGAACUACAUAGACCUGGCUGGUUGUAGAAGUGGUUUAUCCAGGAACACGUCUGUACGUUGAACUUGCAUAAUGAAGGCAAUUAUUUUCCAUUCAGCCCUCCGAACGCAUUGCAACAUUCGUUCUCAGCAGCGGUAAGGAAAUGGAUCCAAACUGUUCCAGCUCUCCUGGCCAUUUAUCAAGGAGCCUUUACAAGCUGUGUAGACUGCAUUACUAAAUCAUUCCCUCUCAGAAAUGAUUAUGAGCCUUGUCAUGUUAUCUACUCAACUGUAACUACAAAACCACUGUGACUAAAUGAAGCCAUAUGUCCCCUGUGAUUCCUUGCAGUGAUGAGGAGCCCUCCAUACCUACCUAUGAGUGCAUGUGUUUCUGUCUAUCUGUGUGUGCAUGUAGAUGGGUGGCAAUAACCCCAGAACCAUGUUAGUGGUGAAGUUCUGCUCGGCAUGCAGCCGCCCAAAGCAGUCAGUGGGGAAUGAGAUGUCUGUGUCUUCACAGGAUCACAGAAUGGCCAGGUUGGAAGGGACCUCAAGGAUCAUGAAUCUCCAACCCCCCAGCCACAUGCAGGGCCACACAAUGUCUUCCCACUGUCCAUUUCCCCAUCCCAGGACUGGUUUGGUGCAAGUUCUCCUAUGCUGUUUUUGUAUCACACUCCUAGAUGCAGCAUCUUUUCCUGCUGUUGAAGAUGUGACUCAAGUGAGACAUUGCGACCUCUGCCUUCUGCCCUGAGAAACACUCUGCUGUUCUCCCAGCACUGCUCUUGGCUUCCCAACACUGUAAUUGUAAGUAUUUUUAGUGUGCUCCUAACUGUGAGAGCCCACAGGGCUUGUAUAAGCCCUUGGGUUUACUUCAGAAAUGUGGGUAGUAUAUUGCAAAAUAUACAGAGGGGAACGUUCUUGUACUUUCUUGCUCUACUGUUUGUUUUUGUUCCUGUGUUUCCUUAAUACCACAUGAAACAUACCAAGACACAAUGGCAGCGACUGCUUUGUCACAUCAAGUGCAUCGUGUUCUGAUGGAGAGGUGGAGGAGAAAAUGGCUUCUCCAACCUUGCUGGAGAAAUUGUGGUGCUGAGCUGCACAGGGCUGUUCUGAGGUUGGUCUUCAAGUCAGAGCUCUGUCAUGGUUUCAGUGAGUUGAGUUCCAUCCAAAGUCUAUAGGAUAACAGGAGCAGCCUCCUGGCUAUGUGUGUCCCGUUACAAGAUGGUUUAUUGACAUAAUGUAAUUGCAGUAUCUUCUUGGCAGGGACUGAUUUCAUCUGCUGUAUUUAACAGAAAUUAACUGCUAUCUCCCCCCCUCCACCUCCCCUUUUAUUAAGGAAGUUUCAGUAUAACAUAAUAAAAUAAAUGAACUCAGAUUUCAAACCUUAGCAUCCCAAAAUAACAGUCUGCUGUAAUUUGGCUCAGGAUGCUCCAACAUUUGCUCUCUUCCUGCAUUACCAAGUGGCCAACAGCCAAGCCCAGCAGAUUACAGCGCUGACAUCGGGCGUCUAUCAGACCUUAAAUCAGUCAAAGUGGGCCAGAAACAACUUGCUUUUAUCCAUUUUAAGGUCUGUAGACUGCUCUUCAAGUGGUUUGCUCUCCAGUGAUGGCACAGACUUUUCCAUGGCUUAUGCAGCAAUGCAUGGAAACGAAUACUCCCCAGAACAAUACGUCAGACCAGGAUUUCUUGGGGUUUUUCUACUUCAUUGCUGGCUUGCUGAAAACAGGAUGAUAAAUUGCGGGAUAAGGAACAAAAUGAGAACAUGUGAGAGCUAUAGAAGUGCCUUGUGGGAGCUGUUCUCUAUCUCCUUUUUCUUUUUCUUAUAUGGACAACCUGACUAAGUGACGCUGAAUUAUUCCUUGAGAGUUGGAUUGCUGCUCCUUGUGACUUCCUGCCCUAUAAUUUUACUGUAUCAUAUAUCUGCAGCAUGGGCAGGGGGAAAUAGAAAACAGAUGAGGGGAUAUCAGCUCGGCCCCACAGUGCUGUUCAGUAGUUUUGGUGGGUUUGUUUUGUGUCUGUGCCCAUCGGUGUACGCGGGAGAAACGGAGCAAUGCAGAGACCUUCUGAAACAGAUUUAUCUCAAAGCAUUUAAUGUGGGAAGACAGUUACAAGCUUACACAAUGAGGUAAGAGAGUUGUUUUGUUUAUCCCAGAGAAGAUGAAACACAUAUUUCUUCCAUCUCAGUGACACAUUAAAAGGAAGCAGAGUAUGGUGUGUAAUUGCCUUUUUGGCCAAUGCUCCCCAGAGCCAGGACAGCGGGGUGCCUUGCAGUGCAUAGGGCUGCUGCACUGCUAAAUGCCUGUGGGGUAGUCAUUCAUUAAUUUGGGCAGACCUAACAAGGCAUCCAGCAAUAACUCUGGCCUUAAUGAGAAAGGAGAGCCUAAACCAACAGCCACUCCACCUGGUUUCCUUCAUGCAGAGUUGGGUUUGGGAUGGAGCAUGGCAGCUCUGGGAGCCACUGGGUACCCAGAGGGGCUGGGAAUGCUCUGUAUGGAUGCUGCAGACUGAGGAACUGGCAGAGCUUUGUGAUGGGGAUAAAUUCAGAGGGAUUUCUUUCUCUCAGGCUCUAAAAAGGUAGUGGACUCACUGUCCUGGGAAGGGUUGAAGAAGGAUGCAGGUGGGCAGUAUUGGUGAUAGAGGGACCAGGAGAUCUGAGAGGUCUUUUCCAACCUUAAUGAUUCCAUGAUUCUAUUUCUAGUAUUCUAAGGCAAUGGUCCUUGGCCCUAAAUUUGACAGCCAAAGCACGUUUCACUUUCUCUUCUUUCUAUCAUUCUCUAUUUUCUAUUUAUUUUUCUCCAUUCUUCCUCCAUCACCAAACACAACUCUGAGUUUUAUUUAAUUCUCAAUUCCCACCGUAUGUCACAUCCCCCAAAGGCCAGGCAGGCUGCAGGGUGCACUGGGGUUUCCAAGACAGCCUGUGCUGCUUGCAGCUCUCUGCAUGUGUUACUGCAGCAAUAGCACUGCACACACACGCAGUGCCUUUUGGACAGAGCUUUGAGACGAGCCAAAAGAUAAACCCCACCAAUUCCUUCCUGCAGCACAAGGGGUGGUGAGGAAAGCAAGAUUAGUCUCCUUCCUUUUUCAGCAGACUCCAGACACAUCAGAUGAAGCUGCCUACAAAGGGAAACAAUGAGGAUUAUGUGGUUUUAACCAGGAUUUUUUUGCAAGACCGAUGUGUGAAAGAGAGCUUGGCGUAAAGGAGCAUUUGCUGAGCCCUCAGUGUGUGAAACUCAGUGGAGAUUCAGUCUGUCUCAGGGAUUUGGGUUGUACCAUAUGUAGCUAGAACUUUUCAUCAUGGAAAUUACUGCCUAUACUACUAUGAGGAAAGCAGAACUUUAAUAUGGCAGCCUUUAAAUUCCACGCUGUUGAUCAUAGAAUCAUUAAGGUUGGAAAAGACCACUCAGGUCACCAAGUGCAACCACCAACCCAUCGCUGCUGUGCUCAUCAGUGCCCCUAAAGCUGUUGCUGGGGAGGUGGAAAGGUGGUGGUUUGUUGGCCUUCCUGUGCAGCGAUGGAGCAAAGCAAAAAAUAUUUAUGCUCUGAGCAAUUCAGUAAUUUCGGAUUUGUUUACGCAGCCCAAUCUUUCACUAAAGAUGCUUGUGAUUGCUGUAGGUUUCUUUGCUGAGGCUUUGGGGCAUGUCUUGCCACCCCUUCUGUCAGCGGAGCAGCUGUAACCCUGAAAUGCAUACCAGUGUCUGUUUGUGUAAGUGCAAUUUUCCACGUGAUUGAUUUCAGAGUAUUUGUAUGAGUGUGCACAGAGCCCGCUGCACAUGGAUUUCAUUUCAAACUCAGCAUCUGUCCGAAAGCAGAGGUUAAAGCAAGUGCAAGGCAAAGCGCUGGCCAUUCACAAAUAGGCUUGUCACAGUCUGGUGGCCCUCUGUAUUGGAAUGGUCCUUUGAAACAGGCAAACCACUCUCAAAACGAUUCACGGGAACUAAUUGAAGGCUCAGUCAGUACACAGAGUCCUGCUGGCACGGGGUAAUGAAUGGAGAUGCACUGAAGAGGAACCAGGAGGCAGUGCAACCAGGAGUGAGGGGCAGGGAGGAGGAAAACUGCAGCAGGAGAUAAAAACAUAAGGUUUAGGUGUGGAAGGUUGGCGUUAGGCAAUACCUAACAGGGUUUAAAAUCUCUCCCUUUUUUUCUCCGUAAGACAUGACCUCUAUUUCUCAUUUUUGGGAUGGAGACACGAGCCCUUCCAGGUAGGACUUUGAGAUCCAUCUGUUUGAUGGAGACAGCAUUGAGGAGAGGAAACCUGACACUGGGGAAAGGCUUUGUGUAUUUUAUCCCAGAAGAUUAAUGCUGUUUACGCUAAUCAGAUUUAUUUACUGCAGUGAGAAAAGUAUUUUUGUAAAUAAAAAGUGUUUAUUAUUGCUGAAGAGUUCUUCUGUUUGGCUCAGUGGUUGCUCCCUGGCUACAUUUCAAUUCCUGUCCAUUGCUGAGCUGCUGCCCUUCCUGUAGCCUGCAGAUCCCCUCGAGGCUUUUGCAGAAGUUUGUCCCCGAGGACAAGUGGCCACAAAGGGCCCCUUCUGCCUUCCAGAAAGACUUGGGGAGAAAAGAGCCCUUAAAGUUUGGUGUUGGUCCAACCAGAUUGAGUUCAUCAGGAACACGGCUAGGAUGUUGCAGUGCGUCAGGCUGGAAUUUGGGCACCAGGUGACAUGAGGCUUCCCUUAUGGACCCAUCAUUAAGGUUGGAAAAGACCUCCAAGAUCAUCUAGCCCAACUGUCAGCCCAUCCUUGCCAUUCCUGCUGAACUGUGACCCUCGGUGCCACAUCUCUGUUUCUUGAACACCUCCAGGGAUGGUGACCCCACCACCUCCCUGUGCUGGCAUUGCACGAGGA